This is a long non-coding RNA of Micropterus salmoides (largemouth bass), 626 nucleotides long. RefSeq lists it as uncharacterized. Lineage: Eukaryota; Metazoa; Chordata; Actinopteri; Centrarchiformes; Centrarchidae. The transcript is spliced from 5 exons. The record is from RefSeq and is a predicted model, not a curated record.
CUCCUCCUCUUCCUCAACCACUCCUCCUUCUGAUUCCAUCUCUCCUCCUCUCUCUGUGUUGUUGUCUGCUGUUCUGACUUUCUGUGUUCUGGUUCUUCUGGUUCUUCUGGUUCUUCUGGUUCUACUGGUGAGACGAUGCCUCCAUAUAAAACCUAAAGCUGCUGAAGAAGAAGUUGGAGAUGAUGACAUCACAGAUGACAUCACGUACAGUGAUGUCAAAAUAUCACGUCACCUACAGCAGCCAAUCAGACGCAGCAAAGAGAGUGAUCCAGCUGCAGUCUACUCUGCAGUGAGAGGAACAGGAGACGUCAGUUAUGGACAAAUAGCCAUCAAAGACAUCAAAUCAAACAGGACGAGAGAGAGUGAUCCAGCUGCAGUCUACUCAGCAGUAAGAACAGGAGACGUCAAUUAUGGACAAAUAGCCAUCAGACCACAAAGGACGAGAGAGUUUCCAGCAGAGCCAGAGGUCGUCUACUCUUCACUGAGGUAGACCUUCACACCAGUCCAACCACUGAUGUCCAGUUGAGCAGAGCACUGUUACCUGUUUCAUUGUAUUUCUCAUAUAUUUAUACAGAAUCUAAUCAUAACUUCAUGUUGUUUUGUGGUUACUAAUAAUAAUAAACUUC